GAGGGUAUAGCUCAGUGGUAGAGUGUGUGCUUAGCACGCACGAGGUCCUGGGUUCAAUACCUAGUACCUUCA
RNAcentral lists this transfer RNA (72 nucleotides) under Camelus bactrianus (Bactrian camel). It matches the Rfam family "tRNA". Rfam says of the family: Transfer RNA (tRNA) molecules are approximately 80 nucleotides in length. The record is from Rfam by way of RNAcentral. Lineage: Eukaryota; Metazoa; Chordata; Mammalia; Artiodactyla; Camelidae. RNAcentral also lists the same sequence under 2 other names.